GAUGAACGCUAGCUACAGGCUUAACACAUGCAAGUCGAGGGGAAACGAUAGAGAAAGCUUGCUUUUUCUAGGCGUCGACCGGCGCACGGGUGAGUAACGCGUAUCCAACCUGCCCAUCACUUGGGGAUAACCUUGCGAAAGUAAGACUAAUACCCAAUGACGUCUCUAGAAGACAUCUGAAAGAGAUUAAAGAUUUAUCGGUGAUGGAUGGGGAUGCGUCUGAUUAGCUUGUUGGCGGGGUAACGGCCCACCAAGGCGACGAUCAGUAGGGGUUCUGAGAGGAAGGUCCCCCACAUUGGAACUGAGACACGGUCCAAAACUCCUACGGGAGGCAGCAGUGAGGAAUAUUGGUCAAUGGACGAGAGUCUGAACCAGCCAAGUAGCGUGAAGGAUGACGGCCCUAUGGGCUGUAAACUGCUUUUAUAAGGGAAUAAAGUGGGAGUCGUGACUCUUUUUGCAUGUACCUAUGAAUAAGGACCGGCUAACUCCGUGCCAGCAGCCGACGG
RNAcentral lists this ribosomal RNA (506 nucleotides) under uncultured bacterium. RNAcentral describes it as "bacterial SSU rRNA". It matches the Rfam family "Bacterial small subunit ribosomal RNA", at positions 28 to 520 of the family's 1533-position model. The record is from RNAcentral.